UUAAGCGACUAAGCGUACACGGUGGAUGCCCUGGCAGUCAGAGGCGAUGAAGGACGUGCUAAUCUGCGAAAAGCGUCGGUAAGGUGAUAUGAACCGUUAUAACCGGCGAUGUCCGAAUGGGGAAACCCAGUGCAAUUCGUUGCACUAUCGUUAACUGAAUACAUAGGUUAACGAGGCGAACCGGGGGAACUGAAACAUCUAAGUACCCCGAGGAAAAGAAAUCAACCGAGAUUCCCCCAGUAGCGGCGAGCGAACGGGGAGCAGCCCAGAGUCUGAAUCAGCUUGUGUGUUAGUGGAACGGUCUGGAAAGUCCGACGGUACAGGGUGAUAGUCCCGUACACCAAAAUGCACAGGCUGUGAACUCGAAGAGUAGGGCGGGACACGUGGUAUCCUGUCUGAAUAUGGGGGGACCAUCCUCCAAGGCUAAAUACUCCUGACUGACCGAUAGUGAACCAGUACCGUGAGGGAAAGGCGAAAAGAACCCCGGCGAGGGGAGUGAAAAAGAACCUGAAACCGUGUACGUACAAGCAGUGGGAGCACCUUCGGGUGUGACUGCGUACCUUUUGUAUAAUGGGUCAGCGACUUAUAUUCUGUAGCAAGGUUAACCGUAUAGGGGAGCCGCAGGGAAACCGAGUCUUAACUGGGCGUUAAGUUGCAGGGUAUAGACCCGAAACCCGGUGAUCUAGCCAUGGGCAGGUUGAAGGUUGGGUAACACUAACUGGAGGACCGAACCGACUAAUGUUGAAAAAUUAGCGGAUGACUUGUGGCUGGGGGUGAAAGGCCAAUCAAACCGGGAGAUAGCUGGUUCUCCCCGAAAGCUAUUUAGGUAGCGCCUCGUGAAUUCAUCUUCGGGGGUAGAGCACUGUUUCGGCUAGGGGGUCAUCCCGACUUACCAACCCGAUGCAAACUACGAAUACCGAAGAAUGUUAUCACGGGAGACACACGGCGGGUGCUAACGUCCGUCGUGAAGAGGGAAACAACCCAGACCGCCAGCUAAGGUCCCAAAGUCAUGGUUAAGUGGGAAACGAUGUGGGAAGGCACAGACAGCCAGGAUGUUGGCUUAGAAGCAGCCAUCAUUUAAAGAAAGCGUAAUAGCUCACUGGUCGAGUCGGCCUGCGCGGAAGAUGUAACGGGGCUAAACCAUGCACCGAAGCUGCGGCAGCGACACUAUGUGUUGUUGGGUAGGGGAGCGUUCUGUAAGCCUGCGAAGGUGACCUGUGAGGGUUGCUGGAGGUAUCAGAAGUGCGAAUGCUGACAUAAGUAACGAUAAAGCGGGUGAAAAGCCCGCUCGCCGGAAGACCAAGGGUUCCUGUCCAACGUUAAUCGGGGCAGGGUGAGUCGACCCCUAAGGCGAGGCCGAAAGGCGUAGUCGAUGGGAAACAGGUUAAUAUUCCUGUACUUGGUGUUACUGCGAAGGGGGGACGGAGAAGGCUAUGUUAGCCGGGCGACGGUUGUCCCGGUUUAAGCAUGUAGGCUGGUUAUCCAGGCAAAUCCGGAUAAUCAAGGCUGAGGUGUGAUGACGAGGCACUACGGUGCUGAAGUAACAAAUGCCCUGCUUCCAGGAAAAGCCUCUAAGCAUCAGGUAACAUUAAAUCGUACCCCAAACCGACACAGGUGGUCAGGUAGAGAAUACCAAGGCGCUUGAGAGAACUCGGGUGAAGGAACUAGGCAAAAUGGUGCCGUAACUUCGGGAGAAGGCACGCUGGUGUGUAGGUGAAGUCCCUGCGGAUGGAGCUGAGACCAGUCGAAGAUACCAGCUGGCUGCAACUGUUUAUUAAAAACACAGCACUGUGCAAACACGAAAGUGGACGUAUACGGUGUGACGCCUGCCCGGUGCCGGAAGGUUAAUUGAUGGGGUUAUCCGUAAGGAGAAGCUCUUGAUCGAAGCCCCGGUAAACGGCGGCCGUAACUAUAACGGUCCUAAGGUAGCGAAAUUCCUUGUCGGGUAAGUUCCGACCUGCACGAAUGGCGUAAUGAUGGCCAGGCUGUCUCCACCCGAGACUCAGUGAAAUUGAACUCGCUGUGAAGAUGCAGUGUACCCGCGGCAAGACGGAAAGACCCCGUGAACCUUUACUAUAGCUUGACACUGAACAUUGAGCCUUGAUGUGUAGGAUAGGUGGGAGGCUUUGAAGCGUGGACGCCAGUCUGCGUGGAGCCAACCUUGAAAUACCACCCUUUAAUGUUUGAUGUUCUAACGUUGGCCCCUUACCGGGGUUGCGGACAGUGUCUGGUGGGUAGUUUGACUGGGGCGGUCUCCUCCCAAAGCGUAACGGAGGAGCACGAAGGUUAGCUAAUCCUGGUCGGACAUCAGGAGGUUAGUGCAAUGGCAUAAGCUAGCUUGACUGCGAGCGUGACGGCGCGAGCAGGUGCGAAAGCAGGUCAUAGUGAUCCGGUGGUUCUGAAUGGAAGGGCCAUCGCUCAACGGAUAAAAGGUACUCCGGGGAUAACAGGCUGAUACCGCCCAAGAGUUCAUAUCGACGGCGGUGUUUGGCACCUCGAUGUCGGCUCAUCACAUCCUGGGGCUGAAGUAGGUCCCAAGGGUAUGGCUGUUCGCCAUUUAAAGUGGUACGCGAGCUGGGUUUAGAACGUCGUGAGACAGUUCGGUCCCUAUCUGCCGUGGGCGCUGGAGAAUUGAGGGGGGCUGCUCCUAGUACGAGAGGACCGGAGUGGACGCAUCACUGGUGUUCGGGUUGUCAUGCCAAUGGCACUGCCCGGUAGCUAAAUGCGGAAGAGAUAAGUGCUGAAAGCAUCUAAGCACGAAACUUGCCCCGAGAUGAGUUCUCCCUGAGACUUUAAGUCUCCUGAAGGAACGUUAAAGACGAUGACGUUGAUAGGCCGGGUGUGUAAGCGCAGCGAUGCGUUGAGCUAACCGGUACUAAUGAACCGUGAGGCUUAACCUU
RNAcentral lists this ribosomal RNA (2900 nucleotides) under Klebsiella pneumoniae. RNAcentral describes it as "bacterial LSU rRNA". It matches the Rfam family "Bacterial large subunit ribosomal RNA". RNAcentral also lists the same sequence under 1 other name. Lineage: Bacteria; Pseudomonadati; Pseudomonadota; Gammaproteobacteria; Enterobacterales; Enterobacteriaceae. The record is from RNAcentral.